Long non-coding RNA from Phycodurus eques (leafy seadragon), 1420 nucleotides. RefSeq lists it as uncharacterized. Lineage: Eukaryota; Metazoa; Chordata; Actinopteri; Syngnathiformes; Syngnathidae. The record is from RefSeq and is a predicted model, not a curated record. The transcript has 3 exons.
UUGGAGUCAUCUGCCCAGCACACACCCUGCCGUGGGGAAAACUCAACUUCCUCACUGCAUUCUCUCUCUUUCUCUCUCACACACACAAACACACACACACACGUUUUGUGGUGCCAUGUGCACUGCAGAAGAAGGUGGAAGAAGGUGGAAGAAGAGGAGGAAGGAGGACAUUGUCUCCCUAUUGGGCUUCAGGAGAAGGACACCAGAUGCAGGCUGUGCAAAUAAGCCCCGGAGAAAGUGCAGCACAUCACAGCAGGGUGUAAGAUGCUGGCAAGCAAGGCAUACGUGGAGUGGCAUAACCAGGUUGCACCAAUAGUGCACCAGAACAUCUGUACCAAUUAUGGACUGAAGGUCCCAGAGUCAAGAUGGCAGACACUAUCCAAGGGGGUUGAGAACAACCAGGCCGAUAUAUAUAUAUAUAUAUAUAUAUAUAUAUUAGGUGUUUCAUUUUUAUAUUUUAAAUUGUAAUUGUUACAUUAUUUUAGAUUGUAUUGUAUAUUUUAAUUUGAGUGACAUUAGAACUGUUCACGAAUUGGCAUUCGAGUCCAUCAAAACAACGGAAUCUGAAUUUCACCACGAUUCAAAGAAUAACACACUACUUAGUUUAUUCUGAAAAGAGCCGCAACUGCCGCCAUGCAACAUUUGGAAAAUAUUUCACAAUUUUUUUUUUUUUUUUAUCCUUUGUUUCUGACAGACGCCAUAUGGAAUUAGUUCACGUAGUUUCUGCACUUGUACACAGUUGUAUCUUACAGCCUUCCACAGAGAUCUCUGCAUAAAGAGGGCAGCCAUUAGCCUAGCCCAAAGCGGUGCACAGAUAUUCAUGGCAGCUCCACAACCGAAGCCGAAAAGGAACCAUUGCGAAGGUGGACGGCGACUGCGGUCAUAUGAAUGGGAGAAAGCGGAGUUGCUGAGGAUGGCCCAACCAAUCAGGCCGGCCACUCCUGGGAAGGUUUUCUCCGUGUGAGGAAUGGCUCUCCACGCGCCACGCCACGCCAACCACGCCAUCAAGCUCUUCCACCUCCUCACGUUCCCGCUUCCUGCACAUUCCUUGUUCCUAUGGACCACUAUCCCACCUUGGAUACACAAACUCUGAGCCAUUUGAGUUGGAAAAUGUAUGCAUUAUAUAUACCAAAUAUUACUUCUAUUUGUUUUAUACACCCUUCACAUGCUUUAUUGUUCCAUGUUGUGACUUCUGGCCGUUUUGUGCGUUCUGGUUGUUUCCAGCCACCUUGUGACUACUAGCUGUUUUUUGAUAAAGAUGAGUGCAGCUGGACAAAGAUAAUUGUUUUGCUUUCCUUUGCUUCUCUGUCUCUCUAACGGAAGUGAUUGUUUUGCUUAGACUUCAGUAAGGGGUGAUAACUCAUCAGACUUGUACCUUUUCCUCUCUUUGCAAAGACUUUUCUUUCUUUUUUGUAAUAAA